UCAUGCAGCCGCGGCCAUUACGUCCUAUUAAAAUAAAAACAUGUUUUUAUCAAAUAAACGACGAAAUAUGUAAAGAAGAAAAUAAAAUAGUAUAUCUUAUUUACCAAUAUUGCGAAUAGAAGAAAAAAUAAGAAGAUUGGAGAAGAUUCAAGAGCAUACGCGUUCAAGUCCAAAUACGGCGUCCUUUCGUUGGAAAAGGCCCAGACGCGUUACAUACCGAUCGAUGGAUCAUGGUCUUCAACCUAUUCUAGGUCUGCAGUUCUGCAUCAUCUAGAUCACUAUCUCCGCCAGCGGCGUAGAGAAGUAGAUAUCGCUCGGUAUCCAGAAAGCCUCGCUCUCCAAUAGUGCCAGCAUUCGGUUAAUUAUUUAAUACACAUAAUAUUCCGAAAAGGAACAUUAAUUAUAAUCAGAUAAAUAAUUAAGAACAUUAUAAAAGAAGUAUGACCCGGACAAGAUUACGAAAUACUACUCUGCGCUGUAAGAAAUUAUUGGUCCUCCGAAAAUGAAGACUUAAGCUGCAGCUGGCGAGAUUUUGCCAGUGGGGAACGAGGCUAAGUAUUGAAAUGAUACAAAAUAAAGUUUCCUGUUCUCUAACUGUGAUGAUUUACAAGUGAUGUUUUAGGGAAAUCUAGCAGCUGAACUUUAAUCUCCGGCAGCCCAGCCCUUAAGCCUGGCACUUUAAACUUCAAAGGCUCAACUACCAAUCAUAUUUUCUAACGUAUGAUUUGCUGUUGUAUUUGUUUCAUACAAAAACGUAUUUAUUAAACAUAACAAUAUACAAAAACCCCUGGUCAAAAGCAAGGAAGAGGAAGCGGAGCAAGACCUUCCUCUCUGCAGUCACAAUGUGGUCGCACACAGCGACAUCACAACAGCCUGUGUUCAUUCAGAACAAAUUCUUAAAAGCUGUGGUUUACUUUUUUCACAUACAAGGAUUUUGUCCGGGCUGUCUCAUACAAAGUUCCUUUUUUAUCUGUGCCAACACCUACAAGUAUUCCGAAAUAUGAUCACUUCUGUGAAAUUGAUAGUCGAAUACUAGAAAAAUAUGUGAUAUAUAUGACUAUGAUGACCUUAUAAAAUAAUGUUCACUUUAAAGGUACAGCAAGGCAAGAUCCAUAUAUAAACAUAAGCACAUUUAGGUAGUGCAACUGAGCGGUUUUAGCUCCAAGAUGUUUUUACUGAUUUCUUGAAUGUAGAAAACAUAUCUGUUUCAUGUGGAAAGAUGAGAUUUCAGUUUUUAGUCCUAACAUACCUAGACUAUUAAACUAGAUAUCUCUCUAGCUAGAUAUAUGUGCAAGACCUUUUAUGAAGUGUUUAAGAUCACAUACAGACACACACUGUUUAGAUGAUAGAUAUAUCUAUUGUUGAUACUC
Long non-coding RNA from Cydia fagiglandana, 1370 nucleotides. RefSeq lists it as uncharacterized. The transcript is spliced from 2 exons. NCBI's taxonomy places the organism in Eukaryota, Metazoa, Arthropoda, Insecta, Lepidoptera, Tortricidae. The record is from RefSeq and is a predicted model, not a curated record.